This 1370-nucleotide long non-coding RNA is filed under the name Fukomys damarensis (Damara mole-rat). RNAcentral's name for it is "lncRNA (ENSFDAG00000029353.1)". Lineage: Eukaryota; Metazoa; Chordata; Mammalia; Rodentia; Bathyergidae. The record is from RNAcentral.
UAAAGAAUGUGGUUUAUUGGGAUAGUGGAGCGAAACUGAAGGCAAAAUAAAUGUCAAGGUGUCUAAGAAGCACUGAGGGAGAUAAUCCAAGUAAGAGGAUUAGAGGAUUGGAGAAUCCCUUGUGAAAGACAUGUGGCCAGGUUGUGGGAAACUUGUACCAAAGAAAUAAUGAGAGAGGAAUAUUUGCACUGCUCUUUAUGGAUUUCUUAUUCGAGGGUAAUGGGCUGACCAUGUCCUUGGAAUUUCCACUUGCUCUCCUGGAAUCAUCACCGUGUCAGUCGUUUGUUGUAGGUGCCAGGCCCACUUCACAAUAGCGACUCCUUCCCACUCAGCCCGGCAGUGGCCUAGGUGACUCCCUCCCUCCUUUUCUUCUGCUUUGAGUCUGAUCGAAUAUAAUCCCCUCCCCUAUGUCCCUGCCUUUGGGAUCCUGUCCCUUCCCACUCCCUUUCUCAAACCCCAACCUUGGCUCUCCUCUUCUCUCUCCAGGAACACAUGUUCCUAAACACUACAGAGAGGAAGGUGUACGUAUGUGAAUGACAAACUCUGGAUUCUUCAGCAUUGAGGCCAAACCGUCCUGCAACUGGGGAAAUCAUCAGUAUUCAAGACAGCAGGCCUGUGUUCUACCUGUGCUUUAGGACAAUGCAUCUAUGUUUCCAAAGCAUCAAGAUCCCUAGAGUUACAUUCUUGGAUGGGCCAUGACAGCUGGGAAGGCCCUGCAAGUCCCCUUUCAUGCUUUGUUUGCAGCAUGGCAGGAGAGUGACUUGCAGAGGGCAAAAACAUGGUGAAGACAUAUAUUGUCCUGAUGAGAACUACAGUGAGAGGGACAGAGAAAGGAGCCAUCUAAGACUCAUCUAAGACUCAUGCAAUGGAUUUCCAAAUCAAAGGACUCUUUAAGAAAAUAAUUUUGUACCCUCAGCAUCUACGUUCCAUGCAGCUUAAAUCUCCCCAGAGCAAAGAAAUGCAUCAAAAAAGUAAAAGGAAAUAAAGAAAGAGGGAAGAAAGGAGAAAAAAAGGAAACAGAUUUUACUUUUAGCUCGUCUUCAGAUUUGCAAGAGACAAUAAGCGAGAUUCAUUAGGCCAUUUGUUUCUGUCAUCUGCCAUGAUUCAAAAUGAAAUACUAAAUGUUUCAUGGACUCAGAAAAAGAGUAAAAUUUGUCUUUGUGUUGGCUGUGUGAAGACGGUGUGUCUUGCAGCCCCAUCCGAGGGGUCUGACGGAUGAAAGGGGGAAGGGUGGUGCCGUCUGAGUGAUGAUGGGCUAAUAUCAUCACCCUCUUGUCAGCUGUAAUAGGCUUUUCCUCACAGAAAUAAUUCAUAAAACCGCUACAUUAUAUUCUAUCCCUGACAGCCCCUAUCUAUCCUCCAACCCAGCA